CGACGGGUGAGUAACGCGUGGGUAACCUGCCUUACACAGGGGGGAUAACACUUAGAAAUAGGUGCUAAUACCGCAUGAGCGCACAGGACCGCAUGGUCGAGUGUGAAAAACUGAGGUGGUGUAAGAUGGACCCGCGUCUGAUUAGCUAGUUGGUGAGGUAACGGCCCACCAAGGCGACGAUCAGUAGCCGGCCUGAGAGGGUGGACGGCCACAUUGGGACUGAGACACGGCCCAAACUCCUACGGAAGGCAGCAG
This 255-nucleotide ribosomal RNA is filed under the name uncultured bacterium. RNAcentral's name for it is "partial 16S ribosomal RNA". It matches the Rfam family "Bacterial small subunit ribosomal RNA", at positions 100 to 354 of the family's 1533-position model. The record is from RNAcentral.